This 452-nucleotide ribosomal RNA is filed under the name uncultured bacterium. Its description in RNAcentral is "bacterial SSU rRNA". It matches the Rfam family "Bacterial small subunit ribosomal RNA", at positions 335 to 799 of the family's 1533-position model. The record is from RNAcentral.
ACUCCUACGGGAGGCAGCAGUGGGGAAGUCUUAGACAAUGGGCGCAAGCCUGAUCUAGCCAUGCCGCGUGAGUGAUGAAGGCCUUAGGGUCGUAAAGCUCUUUCGCCAGGGAUGAUAAUGACAGUACCUGGUAAAGAAACCCCGGCUAACUCCGUGCCAGCAGCCGCGGUAAUACGGAGGGGGUUAGGCGUUGUUCGGAAUUACUGGGGCGUAAAGCGUACGUAGGCGGAUCAGAAAGUUGGGGGUGAAAUCCCGGGGGCUCAACCCCGGAACUGCCUCCAAAACUCCUGGUCUUGAGUUCGAGAGAGGUGAGUGGAAUUCCAAGUGUAGAGGUGAAAUUCGUAGAUAUUUGGAGGAACACCAGUGGCGAAGGCGGCUCACUGGCUCGAUACUGACGCUGAGGUACGAAAGUGUGGGGAGCAAACAGGAUUAGAUACCCUGGUAGACUGUCA